Cygnus olor (mute swan) is the source of this 163-nucleotide long non-coding RNA. RefSeq lists it as uncharacterized. The transcript has 3 exons. The record is from RefSeq and is a predicted model, not a curated record. Lineage: Eukaryota; Metazoa; Chordata; Aves; Anseriformes; Anatidae.
UUCAGGGAUGUGUGAAACAGCGUAAAGCCACCUGCGAAUUCCUUUCCCACAAUUCCCCCUUUUUUAUUUUCAACCAACCAAACGCUUUCUAUAGAUUUUUCUAUCAAUCACUGCAGACAUUGCAAUAAGCAAGGUACAAUAAGCAACAGGGUGAAAAAUCUCA